CCCCAGGAUGGGCGGGGCCACCCGCCGAGUUUAAGCAUAUCAAUAAGCGGAGGAGAAGAAACUUACCAGGAUUCCCCUAGUAACGGCGAGCGAACCGGAAGUGGCCCAGCAUGGGAAUCGGGCUGCCAUGCUACAACCCGAAUUAUAGCUUAGAGAAGCGUCAUCAGCGACGGACCGGGCCCAAGUCCCCUAGAAGGGGGCGCUGUGGAGGGUGAGAGCCCCGCUCGGCCCGAACCCUGCCGCACGUCGGGUUGUUUGGGAAUGCAGCCAUAAUCGGGCGAUAAAUUUCAUCCAAGGCUAAAUAUGGGCGAGAGACCGAUAGCGAACAAGUACUGCGAGUGAAAGAUGAAAAGAACUUUGAAAAGAGAGUCAAAGAGUGCUUGAAAUUGCCGGGAGGGAAGCGGACGGGGGCUGGCGGUGCGCCUCGGCCCGAAGCGGAACAGAUGCGUCCGAUCAGUGGCUCGAGGCGCGGACUGUUGCAGGCCAGCCCGACGGCAAGAGCCCGAGCAAUUAUCGCUUGAUGAGACACCGUCGCGACGACCUCAAAAACAGCGCGCGCCGGCUCAGCAUGCCUCUUCGGGGGCUCCAACGCUCUCGUUGCAACGACCCAUGGGCUCCCCGUUCGAUCCGUCUUGAAACACGGACUAAGGAGCCUGACAUGCUUGCGAGCCAACGGUUGUCGAAGCCCGGUGGGCCCAAGGAAGCUGAUGCGCGGGAUCCUCUAUGCUGGUGCACCGCCGACCGACCUUGAUCUUCGUGUGAAGGGUUCGAGUGAGAGCAUGCGUGUUGGGACCCGAAAGAUGGUAAACUAUGCCUGAGCGAGACGAAGCCAGAUGAAACUCUGGUAAAGGCCCGCAACAAUACUGACGUGCAAAUCGUUCGUCUGACUCGGGUAUAUGGGCGAAAGACUAAUCGAAUCACCUAGUAGUUGGUUCCCUCCAAAAUUUCUCUUAGGAUAGCUGGAGCCCCGGACAGAGUUCUAUCGGGUAAAGCCAAUGAUUAGAGACAUCCGGAGCACAACGCUCUCGACCUAUUCUCAAACUUUAAAUAGGUAGAACGGCCCGGCUGCUUCGUUGAGCCGGGCUGCGGAAUCGAGGGCUCCAAGUGGGUUAUUUUUGGUAAGCAUAACAGGGGAUGCGAUAUGAGCUGGAAGCCGGGUUACGGUGCCAAACUGCGCUAACCUAAAACUCGCAAAGAGUGUGGUCGAUUAAGACAGCGGGAUGGUGGUGGUCAUGGAAUUUGAAAUCCGCUAAGGAGUGUGUAACAACUCACCCGUCGAAUCAACUAUCUUCGAAAAUGGAUGGCGCUAAAGCCCGCGACCCACACCCGAACAUCGGGGCAAUGGCCAGGCUCGUAUGAUAAAACUCAGGGCGCGAGCCCGUGCUGAGCGACCGUCGGUGUAGAUCUUGGUGGUAGUAGCAAAUAUUCAAAUGAGAGCUUUGAAGGCCCAAAGAGGGAAAUGUUCCAUGUGAACUGCACUUGCACAUGGGUUAGCCGAUCCUAAGAGUCGGGGGAGGCCCGUAAGAUAGCACCGCUUUGCGCGAGCUUUGAAAUGGAGUCAGGUUAAAAUUCCCGAGCCGGGAUGUGGAGACCGAUGGCAACGUUAGGUAGUCCGGAGACGCCGGCAGGGGCCUCGGGAAGAGUUAUCUUUUCUGCUUAGCAGCAUGCCUGCCCUGGAAGCAGCUCAGCCGAAGGUAGGGCCCAGCGACUGGAAGAGCGCCGCACGUUGAGCGGCGUCCGGUGCGCCCCCGGCGGCCCUUGAAAAUCCGGACGGUCGAGUGUCAUCCACGCCUGGUUGUACUUAUAACUGCAUUAAGUCUCCAAGGUGAACAACCUUUGGUUGAUGGAGCAAUGUAUGCAAGGGAAGUCGGCAAAAUGGAUCUGUAACUUUGGGAAAAUGAUUGUCUCUGAGGGUUGGGCUUGGGGGUCCCAGUCCCUAGUCCAUUGGCUGUCGGUGGACUGCUUGAGCUGCGUCCGCGGCGAGAGCGGGUCGCCGCGUGCUGGCUGGGGGACGGAUUGGGAACGACCUCACGGGGCCUUUCCUGGGCAUCGAACAACCGACCAGAACUGGUACGGUCAAGGGGAAUCCGACUGUUUAAUUAAAACAAAGCAUUGUGAUGGUCCCAGCAAAUUCUCACGCAAUGUGAUUUCUGCCCAGUGCUCUGAAUGUCAAAGUGAAGAAAUUCAACCAAGCGCGGGUAAACGGCGGGAGUAACUAUGACUCUCUUAAGGUAGCCAAAUGCCUCGUCAUCUAAUUAGUGACACUCAUGAAUGGAUUAACGAAAUUCUCACUAUCCCUGUCUAUUAUCCAGCGAAACCAUAGCCAAGGGAACAGGCUUGGCAAAAUCAGCGAGGAAAGAAGACCCUGUUGAGCUUGAUUCUAGUCCGACUUUGUGAAAUGACUUGAGAUGUGUAGGAUAAGUGGGAGCCGGCACGCCGGCGGAAGUGAAAUACCACUACUUUUAACGUUAUUUUACUUAUUCCGUGAGACGGAGGCGGGGUGUUGCCCCUCCUUUUGGCUUUCAAGUCUUGCUCCGGCAGGUUGAUCCGGGCGGAAGGCAUUGUCAGGUAGGGAAUUUGGCUGGGACGACACAUCUGUUAAAAGAUAACGUAGGUGCCCUAAGAUGAGCUCAACGAAAAUAAAAAUCUCGUGUGAAACAAAAGGGUUAAAGCUUGUUUGAUUCUGAUUUCCAGUGCGAAUACGAACCGUGAAAGCGUGGCCUAUCGAUCCUUUAGUUAUUCGGAGUCUGAAUCUAUAUGUGUCAAAAAAGUUAUCACAUGGAUAAUUGGCUUGCGGCAGCCAAGCGUUCAUGGCGAUGUUGCUUUUUGAUCCUUUGAUGUCGAUUCUUCCUAUCAUUGUGAAGCAGAAUUCACCAAGUGUUGGAUUGUUCACCCACCAAUAGGGAACGUGAGCUGGGUUUAGACCGUCGUGAGACAUGUUAGUUUUACUGUACUGAUGAUCGUGCUGCGAUAGUAAUUCAACCCAGUACGAGAGGAACUGUUGAUUCACACAAUUGGUCAUCGCGUUUGGUUGAAAAGUCAGUGGCGCGAAGCUAUCAUGUCAGGAUUAAGACUUAGCGCCUCUAAGUCAGAAUCCGCACUAAUGAAGCGGCGCCUGAGUCCGUCGAUCACCCUCUGACCGACAGUAGAGGCAUCACCCCCAAUGGCACGCAAGCCGGGCUGCGCCCGCACCAUUCUCCUCAUAAGGAUCGGUACGGCGGCUCUAAAUUGU
RNAcentral lists this ribosomal RNA (3232 nucleotides) under Gastrodia elata f. glauca. Its description in RNAcentral is "eukaryotic LSU rRNA". It matches the Rfam family "Eukaryotic large subunit ribosomal RNA". Lineage: Eukaryota; Viridiplantae; Streptophyta; Magnoliopsida; Asparagales; Orchidaceae. The record is from RNAcentral.